GCCUGAGUGGCUCAGUUGGUUGAGCGGCCGACUUCGGCUCAGGUCAUGAUCUCGCGAUCUGUGGGUUUGAGCCCCACGUCGGGCU
Molecule: transfer RNA, 85 nt
Filed under: Felis catus (domestic cat)
Lineage: Eukaryota; Metazoa; Chordata; Mammalia; Carnivora; Felidae
Rfam family: tRNA
About the family: Transfer RNA (tRNA) molecules are approximately 80 nucleotides in length.
Source: Rfam by way of RNAcentral